CAUAUACUUACCAGCGCAUUUGUCAACGCUUUGGACCAUUGUGAAGCUUGCAAUGGACCUGUCUCCGCUCUAAGAUGGCUUGGUUACACAUGCAAAUUGUGUUCAAGGUCGUGGCACAAAUCCUGCUUUAUCAAGAUGAAUCCGUUGCAGGAUGUUGAUGAGCAUGUUUCCGACUCUGCAAGUAGUCACGGCACUUCCUCCGGUGAUCUCUUUCACAUUGACACUGAAUCAAGUUGUGAUGGAAAUAGUGAUAGUGAGGAUCCACAGUGGGUAAACCUACCACAUCGCAAGGGUGGACCAGUUAAAUCACUUUAUUCUCAGGAAAGGACAGAGAGUGCCACAACCUAUGUCCUGCAUGGAACAGGAAGACAAGGAUUCUUCCAAAUCUGUAAAAUUCGACAUUGAUGGUGACCACAUACCUGAUAGUGAACCCUGUUGUGAUGAUGAUCCUACAACAAGCAAUACCCAGACUCUUCUAUCAAGUACAAAAGAGGCUUCUUCUAAUGAGGCUGCAGUCGUGCCAGAAGUCUCUCCUUGCACUCAAAGAAAUUACUGCUAUGUUUGCAAAACACCUCAAUCUAAAAUAUCCUGUCAUCUUAAAAAACAUGAAAAAGGAGAGCUUGAUAUUGCUGAAGCAUUCUCGUUUCCUAAGAAAUCAAAAGAGAGAAAAAGACUACUUGAGAAGUUGCGGAACAGAGGUAAUUACGAACACAACCAGGAAGUUUUGAGGAAUCAUGAAGGACAACUGAAAUUAAGAAGAAGACCAUCACGAUCAAAAAUCUCUGUGACAACCCAAACGCAUGUGCACUGUGCAUAUUGUAAGGGCAUGUUCAUUCGUAAGGAGCUGUGGCGCCACUUGCGUAGAUGCCCAUCAAAGACGGUCUCCGAGAGUGAGGCUGUUGGGAAGAAUAGAGUCUUAGUUGUGGCUGAUAUCUCGGAGACAACAUUCUGCCAAGCAAUUUGCGCUGGACUGUGGAAAAUCCUUAGAAAUAUGAGGCAAGAUGAGAUUGCAUCUGUUGUACGAAAUGACUUCCUCAUUCUGCAACUGGGCCAGUCUCUCUUCAACAAGCAUGGGAGUGAUUCAACAAAGUUUGAGUAUAUCAGAGCCAAGGUCCGAGAAAUGGGCAGACUGUUGUUGACCUUAAGAAAGAAAUAUUCUAUAUUUAGCUUUGAAGAAGCUGUAAAGCCAAAUCAUUUUUACAAGAUCAUUGGAGCUGUCAGAGCAGUUGCAGGAUAUGAUGAAGAGAAACACUCCUAUUGCACACCAAGCCUUGCCCUGAAAUUGGGACACUCGCUCAAGAAGAUCGGUGACAUUAUUCUCUGCAGGGCCAUCGCAGCAGAGGAUGAAGAUUUGAUUAAAGCAGCAGAACGAUUCACACAACUCUGCACAAAACAGUGGGCAACACAGGUCUCCCACACUGCACUGGCUACUUUGAGCAAGGCAAAAUUUAACAAACCAUCCACCAUACCAUUCACAGAGGAUGUGCAGCUCUUGCACAAGUACCUGGAGGACAAAUCAGCAGACGCCAUUGAAAACCUAAAAGACCAUGAUUCUCCACAGGCGUAUGCUGAACUUGCUAGGGUGACACUCACUCAGAUAAUCGUCUUUAAUAGACGCCGUGCAGGAGAAGUCUCAAAAAUGACACUUGAGUCCUUCAAAAAAAGAGACCAGACUGAGCUCCAUAGUGACAUAGCUGCUAGCUUGUCACCGUUUGAACAAAAGCUAGCCCAGCACUUCAGCAGGGUUGAAAUUAUGGGCAAAAGAGGGAGGAAAGUUGCUGUUCUAUUAAACCCGGAAGUUGUCAGUGCAACAACACUUCUAUCACACAAAAGAGACGCAUGUAACGUCCAUAAGGAUAACCCCUUCCUCUUUGGACGUCCACAGUGCCCACCCACGAGCUACUACAGGGGACAGGACUGCAUACGAAUUUUUGCACACGCGUGUGGUGCAAAGAAUCCUGAUAAUCUGAGGUCUACGCAACUUCGCAAGCACAUUGCAACAUUGUCCCAAAUUCUCAAUCUCAAAAAUAAUGAGCUGGACCAACUCCCAAUUUCUUGGGCCACGACAUUCUGGUCCACAGAGACUUUUAUCGUCUUCCGGAGGCAACUAUAGAAAUGGCAAAAAUCACAAAGCUUCUACUUGCAAUGGAAAAAGGAACUCUUGCAAAAUUCCAGGGAAUGUCUCUUGACGAGAUUGAGGUUGAAGCUGAAUUGGACCCAGAGCUGGAAGAUCGAGAUGAUGAAGGCGAUGGAGACGACGAAGGCGACGACGACGGAGGCUGCGAAGGUGACGACGGAGGCUGCGAAGGUGACGACGGAGGCUGCGAAGGUGACGACGGAGGCUGCGAAGGUGACGACGGAGGCUGCGAAGGUGACGACGGAGGCUGCGGAGGUGACGACGGAGGCUGCGGAGGUGACGACGGAGGCGGCGGAGGCUGCGAAGUUGACGACGGAGGUGACGACGGAGGUGAUGACAGAGGCGGCGGAGGCGACGACGGAGAAAAUCAAGAAAUGAAGAUGCCUGAAGAGCCCACCAGCUCCUCAGGGAAAAGAAAAAGUAUGGAAUUGACCCAGGGUGAGGCCAAGAGUUACAAAGGGGGAAAGAAACUGUGUGCGACCCAGAGUGUGGCAUCCAGCUCCAAAGAAUUCAAAUCAAGAAGAUGUGUGAAAAGGCCAUGGAGCAAGACUAAAGUUGGUGCUGUCAUGAAACAUUUUAAGACACACAUUUCAAAGGGACACUUGGCAACUAAGUUAGAGUGUGAGCGGUGUAAGGUUUCUGAGCACCCUGUUUUGAGCGACAGAACUCCUCAAAAUAUAAGAGACUUUGUUAAGAACAGGGGCCUUAUGUUUAAAAGAAAGGUCUAACUUGUUUUAUUUUUUUACAUAUGUUUCAAAGGUUCCUCAGAGCAUUAUUACGUGUUUGUGUUAGUUCAUGUUAGUUCAUAGUUCAUAGUUCAUAGUUCAGGGCUAUUCAACCUCCUUAACAAGUGGGCCGAAAAGGAAAACCACUGGGGGUUCAUGGGCCAAACAGAGUAGAACGAUGUCAAUGAAUCGCUGCUAAUAAAUCGUACUUAAAGUAGUGUUAACUUAAUAUAUAUAGUACUACUACAUGGAAUAAACUUGUCAGACGCAUUCCUUCCUUCACUUUUAAUCGUAUCAUUAGAAAA
This is a non-coding RNA of Gadus morhua (Atlantic cod), 3167 nucleotides long. The record is from RefSeq and is a predicted model, not a curated record. Lineage: Eukaryota; Metazoa; Chordata; Actinopteri; Gadiformes; Gadidae.